This 201-nucleotide ribosomal RNA is filed under the name bacterium a10(2011). RNAcentral's name for it is "partial small subunit ribosomal RNA". It matches the Rfam family "Bacterial small subunit ribosomal RNA", at positions 443 to 646 of the family's 1533-position model. The record is from RNAcentral.
GUACGAGAGUAACUGCUCGUACCUUGACGGUACCUUAUUAGAAAGCCACGGCUAACUACGUGCCAGCAGCCGCGGUAAUACGUAGGUGGCAAGCGUUGUCCGGAAUUAUUGGGCGUAAAGCGCGCGCAGGCGGUUCUUUAAGUCUGAUGUGAAAGCCCACGGCUCAACCGUGGAGGGUCAUUGGAAACUGGAGAACUUGAG